This 154-nucleotide ribosomal RNA is filed under the name Hydnum sp. 15 BF-2016. RNAcentral describes it as "5.8S ribosomal RNA". It matches the Rfam family "5.8S ribosomal RNA". From Rfam's summary of the family: 5.8S ribosomal RNA (5.8S rRNA) is a component of the large subunit of the eukaryotic ribosome. It is transcribed by RNA polymerase I as part of the 45S precursor that also contains 18S and 28S rRNA. Lineage: Eukaryota; Fungi; Basidiomycota; Agaricomycetes; Cantharellales; Hydnaceae. The record is from RNAcentral.
ACAACUUUUAACAACGGAUCUCUUGGCUCUCGCAUCGAUGAAGAACGCAGCGAAAUGCGAUAAGUAAUGUGAAUUGCAGAAUUCAGUGAAUCAUCGAAUCUUUGAACGCACCUUGCACUCUCUGGUAUUCCGGGGAGCACGCCUGUUCGAGUGU